This 585-nucleotide ribosomal RNA is filed under the name uncultured beta proteobacterium. RNAcentral describes it as "bacterial SSU rRNA". It matches the Rfam family "Bacterial small subunit ribosomal RNA", at positions 338 to 916 of the family's 1533-position model. The record is from RNAcentral. Lineage: Bacteria; Pseudomonadati; Pseudomonadota; Betaproteobacteria.
CCUACGGGAGGCAGCAGUGGGGAAUUUUGGACAAUGGGCGCAAGCCUGAUCCAGCCAUGCCGCGUGAGUGAAGAAGGCCUUCGGGUUGUAAAGCUCUUUCGGUGAAGACGAAACGGUUAGCGUUAAUAGCGCUGACUAAUGACGGUACUCACAGAAGAAGCACCGGCUAACUACGUGCCAGCAGCCGCGGUAAUACGUAGGGUGCAGGCGUUAAUCGGAAUUACUGGGCGUAAAGCGUGCGCAGGCGGUUUGCUAAGACAGGUGUGAAAUCCCCGGGCUUAACCUGGGAAUUGCGCUUGUAACUGGCAGGCUAGAGUGUGGCAGAGGGGGGUGGAAUUCCACGUGUAGCAGUGAAAUGCGUAGAUAUGUGGAGGAACACCGAUGGCGAAGGCAGCCCCCUGGGUUAACACUGACGCUCAGGCACGAAAGCGUGGGGAGCAAACAGGAUUAGAUACCCUGGUAGUCCACGCCCUAAACUAUGUCAACUAGUUGUCGGGGAAGAAAUUCCUUGGUAACGAAGCUAACGCGUGAAGUUGACCGCCUGGGGAGUACGGCCGCAAGGUUAAAACUCAAAGGAAUUGACGG